UAGGGCGGUAUAGAGUGGUGGGGGUAACGAACGCGACAGUCUCGUGCGGCAGGCAGGGGGUGGAAGAUGCGUACGUGUGUUCGCGCGUACGGACACGCGAAUACAGCAGAAAAACGUCGCGGCUGCGCGCGUUGCUGCGGCGUAGCGCGGAGAAGGGAUAGCGCAGAGGGGCAAGGGUCUUCGCCGGCGUGUAUACGUAUACAAACGGCGCGUGGUUCGGUGUGUUUGGAUAAGAGAAAGAGAGAAAACCGCGAUUUCUACCGGGGGAAACGGCAAGAACCGACGCCGCGCGCACUUACUACGCGACGCGAAGCUAGCGCGUCGAUGCCUCGCUGUUGAACACUGCAAAAAAAGACGGGUCCGGGCGAACUAAACGGACUCUCGUGAUUGGCCGGCGCGCACCUGCAAUGCGUCAGGCCGGCCGCGCGGACUGCUCGCUCGCUCGCUUGCCGCUGCCGUUGCCGCUGCUGCUGCUGCUGCUGCCGCCGGCUACCGGGUCAAAGCCAGCCACCCGUCUCCGUCGUUUUGUACUAUCGGCAGAGCGCGCAGCUUGUCGCGCGCGUCUUCGCUAGUAGGCGCUACCUCCUAGCGCUCGCAACUCGCAUCGGCAUUGCUGGUACGCAGCGCGCGAACAGCGCCGCGCACGACCGUGAAGUUAAUCGUUCGGGGAUGCAUCGUCCUCGGGGAAACCCCCCUAAUUGUCCACGUCACCGGCAUCCAGGGGUGAUCGCUAGCGCCCUAGGAAACUACUCGCUUUUUUUUUUAUUUUCCUUUGCCCUUCGGCCGCGACAAUCUACCGAACGAAAAAGGAAACGUUUGUUCAACCUUUUUCAUUUUUUUCAGACUUUUUUUUCCCCUCGAAUAAUCUUUGUAUUAAUACAGGAAAAAAAGUUUAUCAAAAAAUAAACAAUGAAAGUUCUUGUGUA
This is a long non-coding RNA of Venturia canescens, 926 nucleotides long. RefSeq lists it as uncharacterized. Lineage: Eukaryota; Metazoa; Arthropoda; Insecta; Hymenoptera; Ichneumonidae. The record is from RefSeq and is a predicted model, not a curated record. The transcript is spliced from 2 exons.